AUUGAACGCUGGCGGCAUGCUUUACACAUGCAAGUCGAGCGGCAGCGCGGGGGCAACCCUGGCGGCGAGCGGCGGACGGGUGAGUAAUGCAUCGGAACGUAUCCCGUAGUGGGGGACAACCCAGCGAAAGCUGGGCUAAUACCGCAUAUGCUCUACGGAGGAAAGUGGGGGGACCCGCAAGGGCCUCACGCUAUGGGAGCGGCCGAUGUCCGAUUAGCUAGUUGGUGGGGUAAAGGCCUACCAAGGCGACGAUCGGUAGCUGGUCUGAGAGGAUGAUCAGCCACACUGGGACUGAGACACGGCCCAGACUCCUACGGGAGGCAGCAGUGGGGAAUUUUGGACAAUGGGGGCAACCCUGAUCCAGCCAUGCCGCGUGCGGGAAGAAGGCCUCGGUUGUAA
Molecule: ribosomal RNA, 399 nt
Filed under: uncultured bacterium
Lineage: Bacteria
Description: bacterial SSU rRNA
Rfam family: Bacterial small subunit ribosomal RNA
Source: RNAcentral